UUCCGACCGAGAGAGUUGCGGUGGCACUUCGCGGUGACACCGCAGUGCUUGGCGAUGGAGGUGAUGAAGCCUUUUUCUCCUUCUUUACUCUGGUUCGAUAUGUUACUUUCUAUACUCUAUUUAUUUGACUUUUUUCCUGUUGUUUUCUGCUUUGUUUGUUUUAUUCUAGCCUUUUUUUUUUCACCCUUCAUUCUCUUCCUAACCAAAAUCAAAAUGGAUGGAGGGUCUUAUCCUUCAUUUUCCAUUCUUUUUUUCAUUGCAGCAAUCAUAUCUGCUUAUUAUCAUUCAGCUGAAGUAGCUAUGUCUAAAGGAUCUUUUAAAGAUAAUUUCAGCAUAGUGUUGUCCCAGGACCAUUUUACUACCUCUACAGAUGGACAGGUCCAGUGGCGGAACUAGAAAAAAUAUUGUGGGUGGGCCGAAAAAUGGUCAAUCUAUUUUCAAAUUGAAUUUUUUGCUCCUCUAUUUUGGGUCCGGUUACUGUGCAUAAGCCAAAGCUUAUGCACCGUGCAUAAGCCCAAGAUAAUUGCUUAGCACACCCGUCCAUUGCUUCAUACACCCCCAACAGAUCCCUUCCCGUUCAUUUCACAAAACAAAUCGCUCCUUCAUCAUCAAACAAAACUCGCUCCCUCUUCGCCGUCGUCGUCGCCAUUAACGCCUUCCAUCUUCAACGUCGCCGCCGUUCAUCAUCAGUUCAUCACAUUUCAUCAUCUUCACCGUCGCCGUCAUUCAAAACCAUUCAUCAUAGUUCAUCAUCAUUCACCCUCGCCGGAAAUCAAAGCACAACAUCACGAUAUUAUUAUUAUCAUCAAAACGAAAUCAGCAAUUCAAAAGCGGAAUAUGUGGUAAACAAAACAACUUCUUACUAUCAAGAAAUGGCUCAAAAGCUGCAACAUGAUGUCUAGGUUCUAGAUGAUGUCUUACUUAGUUUUUGGAUUUGUAUAUAGAUAAAUUUCUGAAUUUCUUGUUAUGUUAGUUUAUGAUAGAUUUCUGAAUUUUUGAAUUUUUAAAAAUGCCUUGCUCAAAUAGGUUCUAGAGGAUAUAAUGAGUGACCAAGAGUCAGAGACCAGGUUGAAACUUUUUUAUGUAUUCAUUGUUGAUUCUCUGACAUGUGAGUUGGUGUAUGAAGAAUUGGUGGUUCAUGUCUUAUUUUCCAAUUUGGUGGAGAAGACAUAUUUGUUAUUUAUUAUGAGUUAUGUCAUUUUGA
Molecule: long non-coding RNA, 1204 nt
Organism: Trifolium pratense (red clover)
Lineage: Eukaryota; Viridiplantae; Streptophyta; Magnoliopsida; Fabales; Fabaceae
Exons: 2
Source: RefSeq, a predicted model, not a curated record